This 496-nucleotide ribosomal RNA is filed under the name uncultured bacterium. RNAcentral's name for it is "partial 16S ribosomal RNA". It matches the Rfam family "Bacterial small subunit ribosomal RNA", at positions 28 to 506 of the family's 1533-position model. The record is from RNAcentral.
GAUGAACGCUGGCGGCGUGCCUAAUACAUGCAAGUCGAGCGAACAGACGAGGAGCUUGCUCCUCUGACGUUAGCGGCGGACGGGUGAGUAACACGUGGAUAACCUACCUAUAAGACUGGGAUAACUUCGGGAAACCGGAGCUAAUACCGGAUAAUAUAUUGAACCGCAUGGUUCAAUAGUGAAAGACGGUUUUGCUGUCACUUAUAGAUGGAUCCGCGCCGCAUUAGCUAGUUGGUAAGGUAACGGCUUACCAAGGCAACGAUGCGUAGCCGACCUGAGAGGGUGAUCGGCCACACUGGAACUGAGACACGGUCCAGACUCCUACGGGAGGCAGCAGUAGGGAAUCUUCCGCAAUGGGCGAAAGCCUGACGGAGCAACGCCGCGUGAGUGAUGAAGGUCUUCGGAUCGUAAAACUCUGUUAUGAGGGAAGAACAAAUGUGUAAGUAACUAUGCACGUCUUGACGGUACCUAAUCAGAAAGCCACGGCUAACUACGU